UUUUAGCUAGUAUAUAAGUACAGUUACCUUCCAAGUAAAAAGUUCCUAGAGAGCUGUUAA
This 60-nucleotide transfer RNA is filed under the name Cernuella virgata. Its description in RNAcentral is "tRNA-Gly". Lineage: Eukaryota; Metazoa; Mollusca; Gastropoda; Stylommatophora; Geomitridae. The record is from RNAcentral.